This 77-nucleotide transfer RNA is filed under the name Holosporales bacterium. RNAcentral's name for it is "tRNA-Pro". It matches the Rfam family "tRNA". Rfam says of the family: Transfer RNA (tRNA) molecules are approximately 80 nucleotides in length. Their secondary structure includes four short double-helical elements and three loops (D, anti-codon, and T loops). Lineage: Bacteria; Pseudomonadati; Pseudomonadota; Alphaproteobacteria; Holosporales. The record is from RNAcentral.
CGGGAAGUAGCGCAGCCUGGUAGCGCACUUGCUUCGGGAGCAAGGGGUCGGAGGUUCAAAUCCUCUCUUCCCGACCA